This is a long non-coding RNA of Melozone crissalis (California towhee), 428 nucleotides long. RefSeq lists it as uncharacterized. NCBI's taxonomy places the organism in Eukaryota, Metazoa, Chordata, Aves, Passeriformes, Passerellidae. The transcript is spliced from 3 exons. The record is from RefSeq and is a predicted model, not a curated record.
CUCAGCACAGCAGCCCGAUGCACGGCGACGCCAGGCAGUCGACGGUCUGAGAGAAGGACUAAGGCGCUAGUGCGGAUUUGUUGGCUAUCCAUAGCUGUCUGAAGAUAUCAGGUAUCAGAACUAGCAGUUCAAAUCAACUCUGAGAAUUAAAUGGCAGCAGAACUCUUUACCUAGUGCUACAGAGGACUGGAAGGUAAGUUGCAGGGAAGCUGUAGACAUUUAAUAGCCUGACACACAGGAAAAAAGAAAUGAAAUGAUGGUGUUGUUGCCAUGCCCAAAGCUGCUCCAUGCAGUGCUGUACUGCCGGAUUAUUCCUAACAAGGAUGGCAUGAAAGGAUGCGUGAGGCUGUCACUGUAAAACGCCUGACACUGAUGGCCAUUGUUGUAACUGUAUGCACUGUGACUUGUUACACAGUGCAGCCUCUGCC